UGCAAGUCGAGCGGACUUGUUAGAAGCUUGCUUCUAACAAGUUAGCGGCGGACGGGUGAGUAACACGUGGGUAACCUGCCUGUAAGAUGGGGAUAACUCCGGGAAACCGGAGCUAAUACCGAAUAACACUUUCGCUCGCAUGAGCGGAUGUUAAAAGACGGUUUCGGCUGUCACUUACAGAUGGACCCGCGGCGCAUUAGCUAGUUGGUGAGGUAACGGCUCACCAAGGCGACGAUGCGUAGCCGACCUGAGAGGGUGAUCGGCCACACUGGGACUGAGACACGGCCCAGACUCCUACGGGAGGCAGCAGUAGGGAAUCUUCCGCAAUGGACGAAAGUCUGACGGAGCAACGCCGCGUGAGUGAUGAAGGUUUUCGGAUCGUAAAACUCUGUUGUUAGGGAAGAACAAGUAUGAGAGUAACUGCUCGUACCUUGACGGUACCUAACCAGAAAGCCACGGCUAACUACGUGCCAGCAGCCGCGGUAAUACGUAGGUGGCAAGCGUUGUCCGGAAUUAUUGGGCGUAAAGCGCGCGCAGGCGGUUCCUUAAGUCUGAUGUGAAAGCCCACGGCUCAACCGUGGAGGGUCAUUGGAAACUGGGGAACUUGAGUGCAGAAGAGGAAAGCGGAAUUCCACGUGUAGCGGUGAAAUGCGUAGAGAUGUGGAGGAACACCAGUGGCGAAGGCGGCUUUCUGGUCUGUAACUGACGCUGAGGCGCGU
Molecule: ribosomal RNA, 719 nt
Filed under: Priestia flexa
Lineage: Bacteria; Bacillati; Bacillota; Bacilli; Caryophanales; Bacillaceae
Description: bacterial SSU rRNA
Rfam family: Bacterial small subunit ribosomal RNA
Source: RNAcentral